UGGGGAAUAUUGCACAAUGGGCGCAAGCCUGAUGCAGCGACGCCGCGUGAGGGAUGGAGGCCUUCGGGUUGUAAACCUCUUUCGCCAGUGAAGCAGGCCAUCUUCUUUGUGGGGUGGUUGACGGUAGCUGGAUAAGAAGCGCCGGCUAACUACGUGCCAGCAGCCGCGGUAAUACGUAGGGCGCGAGCGUUGUCCGGAAUUAUUGGGCGUAAAGAGCUCGUAGGCGGCUGGUCGCGUCUGUCGUGAAAUCCCCUGGAUUAACUGGGGGCUUGCGGUGGGUACGGGCCGGCUUGAGUGCGGUAGGGGAGACUGGAAUUCCUGGUGUAGCGGUGGAAUGCGCAGAUAUCAGGAGGAACACCGGUGGCGAAGGCGGGUCUCUGGGCCGUUACUGACGCUGAGGAGCGAAAGCGUGGGGAGCGAACAGG
RNAcentral lists this ribosomal RNA (425 nucleotides) under bacterium. RNAcentral's name for it is "partial 16S ribosomal RNA". It matches the Rfam family "Bacterial small subunit ribosomal RNA", at positions 355 to 776 of the family's 1533-position model. The record is from RNAcentral.